Molecule: ribosomal RNA, 453 nt
Filed under: uncultured bacterium
Lineage: Bacteria
Description: bacterial SSU rRNA
Rfam family: Bacterial small subunit ribosomal RNA
Source: RNAcentral
UACGGAAGGCAGCAGUGGGGAAUAUUGCACAAUGGGCGCAAGCCUGAUGCAGCCAUGCCGCGUGUAUGAAGAAGGCCUUCGGGUUGUAAAGUACUUUCAGUCGUGAGGAAGGUGUUAAGGUUAAUAACCUUAGCAAUUGACGUUAGCGACAGAAGAAGCACCGGCUAACUCCGUGCCAGCAGCCGCGGUAAUACGGAGGGUGCGAGCGUUAAUCGGAAUUACUGGGCGUAAAGGGCACGCAGGCGGUUAAUUAAGUUGGAUGUGAAAUCCCCGGGCUUAACCUGGGAAUGGCAUUCAAGACUGGUUAGCUAGAGUCUUGUAGAGGGGGUAGAAUUCCAUGUGUAGCGGUGAAAUGCGUAGAGAUGUGGAGGAAUACCGGUGGCGAAGGCGGCCCCUGGACAAAGAUUGACGCUCAUGUGCGAAAGCGUGGGGAGCAAACAGGGAUUAGAUACC